Molecule: long non-coding RNA, 649 nt
Filed under: Oryza brachyantha (malo sina)
Lineage: Eukaryota; Viridiplantae; Streptophyta; Magnoliopsida; Poales; Poaceae
Description: long non-coding RNA (OBRA_LNC001488)
Source: RNAcentral
ACUACUUAAAUCUCCAAACCAAAUUUUAACGAUUGGGGUGAAAAUUUAGCCUCCAACGGACCUUCCGAAAUGCCAUUUGCCGUCCUUCUUAUAAGCUAAAAUUUAAAUGUUAAAUCUUAUUUAGUAAUGAUUUUAGAGUUUUUUUACCGGAGUUUAUUUAACAGUCUUGCCUUUUAAAUCGCUAAAAUAUAUAUAUAUAUAUACUAUUUUUAUUUACAGGUAUAAAAUUUAAUUACUUAAUUUUUUCCAAGGAAAACAAAACUAUCACCGAUCGAGUGGGACUCGUCUGCAUCGAAGGCUGAAGCAUUGCGCAGCCGUGCAGGCACGUCGUCUCCCAUCCACGCUGCUGCGCCAUGCCGGCAUCACGCGGGGGAUCAGAUAGAUGGUCAGAUCGUCUCGGGCAAAAGCCGAUGCCCCCCCAUCCGCUCGCACGCCGAGCCCACUACGCGAUUAGGGACUAAUCAACAGUUUUGAGUUGCAUCUGCGCUCCGGCAUGUGAAGUGAAGCAGCGAAAGGCGCAAAGAAAAGGCGCGAGCCACAGCGCAGCUGAGCUGCGUGAACAGUGUCACUAGUGCAAAAAAUGAGAUUAGAAAAAAGCUACGGCUAAUUAUUUACAUGGCCGGCCGCCGGCCUGCCUCGGAACCGGCGG